AAGGUUGAUUUUGAACAUAAAAUCGUGGAUCAAUAAUGACGACGGGCUAUAUAAAGGCGGCCACGUCAUUUUCAGCCACAUACCAAUUCUAAACGUCUAGUUAGAAGGUUUAUCAUUAGGAAUAUCAUUUUCUUAUUUUAAGAUGUUCAGAAGUAUAGAAAGUUUUGUUAAAAAUAUAGUCAAUAAGAAACAAAAGGUUUAUAGAAAUGAUUACAAGAGAAGAUAAACUAUUAUUCAAAAUAAAGAAGGCGAAAACUCAUUACAAAAUGGCGGCGUCAUAAUCUGGCGAGGUGAACUGCGCAAUAAGUUGAAAUACCAUGAUAUUUUAAAUUGGACAUAAAUAUCAAUGAACAAAAGGAUUGGGUACUAAUAAUAUUUAGUUACUCGCUAUGUAAUUGACUGGUCCAGAAUGGUUCACCUCCGGUUCUAUCGGACAACACGUAUCCACCUAAUCACAUAUACAUCUUACAAGUAUACCUAGGCGCCCGACCAUGACGGUACUUAACUUGAUUAUGUUGGUACCUAGCUCUAGAUGCGCGUAUUCGUCGAUGUUUUCUUUUAACGUUGGCGUGAGGGUCCGGGCAGGUUGCUGAAUUUUCUACGUCGAUAGCUAGAAAUAGAAAAAAAUAUAUAUUUUGUUAUCUCACAGAAAUAAAACUUUGCUAUUUUUCUCGCAUUAAUUUA
Galleria mellonella (greater wax moth) is the source of this 684-nucleotide long non-coding RNA. RefSeq lists it as uncharacterized. NCBI's taxonomy places the organism in Eukaryota, Metazoa, Arthropoda, Insecta, Lepidoptera, Pyralidae. The record is from RefSeq and is a predicted model, not a curated record. The transcript has 4 exons.